AUUGAACGCUGGCGGCAGGCUUAACACAUGCAAGUCGAGCGGAGAUGAGGUGCUUGCACCUUAUCUUAGCGGCGGAUGGGUGAGUAAUGCUUAGGAAUCUGCCUAUUAGUGGGGGACAACAUUCCGAAAGGAAUGCUAAUACCGCAUACGUCCUACGGGAGAAAGCAGGGGAUCUUCGGACCUUGCGCUAAUAGAUGAGCCUAAGUCGGAUUAGCUAGUUGGUGGGGUAAAGGCCUACCAAGGCGACGAUCUGUAGCGGGUCUGAGAGGAUGAUCCGCCACACUGGGACUGAGACACGGCCCAGACUCCUACGGGAGGCAGCAGUGGGGAGUAUUGGACAAUGGGGGGAACCCUGAUCCAGCCAUGCCGCGUGUGUGAAGAAGGCCUUAUGGUUGUAAAGCACUUUAAGCGAGGAGGAGGCUACUGAGACUAAUACUCUUGGAUAGUGGACGUUACUCGCAGAAUAAGCACCGGCUAACUCUGUGCCAGCCGCCGCGGUAA
RNAcentral lists this ribosomal RNA (501 nucleotides) under uncultured bacterium. RNAcentral's name for it is "partial 16S ribosomal RNA". It matches the Rfam family "Bacterial small subunit ribosomal RNA", at positions 30 to 523 of the family's 1533-position model. The record is from RNAcentral.